GGCUCGAUGGCGGAUGGCCCGCACCUGCGUUCCGGGGGAAGUCAUCUGAAAAUUACGCAGGAGACCCCCGUUCGACUCGGGGUCGAGCCA
Mycena vulgaris is the source of this 90-nucleotide non-coding RNA. The record is from the annotation of a GenBank genome assembly. Lineage: Eukaryota; Fungi; Basidiomycota; Agaricomycetes; Agaricales; Mycenaceae.